AACUUCUGAAUGUUGACCUCGAAUCAGGUAGGAAUACCCGCUGAACUUAAGCAUAUCAAUAAGCGGAGGAAAAGAAACCAACAGGGAUUGCCCCAGUAACGGCGAGUGAAGCGGCAACAGCUCAAAUUUGAAAUCUGGCUCUCGGGCCCGAGUUGUAAUUUGUAGAGGAUGCUUUUGGUGAGGUGCCUUCCGAGUUCCCUGGAACGGGACGCCAUAGAGGGUGAGAGCCCCGUCUGGUUGGACACCGAUCCUCUGUAAAGCUCCUUCGACGAGUCGAGUAGUUUGGGAAUGCUGCUCUAAAUGGGAGGUAUAUGUCUUCUAAAGCUAAAUACCGGCCAGAGACCGAUAGCGCACAAGUAGAGUGAUCGAAAGAUGAAAAGAACUUUGAAAAGAGAGUUAAACAGUACGUGAAAUUGUUGAAAGGGAAGCGCUUGUGACCAGACUUGGGCUUGGUUGAUCAUCCGGGGUUCUCCCCGGUGCACUCUUCCGGCCCAGGCCAGCAUCAGUUCGCCCUGGGGGACAAAGGCUUCGGGAAUGUGGCUCUCUCCGGGGAGUGUUAUAGCCCGUUGCGUAAUACCCUGUGGCGGA
This 588-nucleotide ribosomal RNA is filed under the name Fusarium keratoplasticum. RNAcentral's name for it is "eukaryotic LSU rRNA". It matches the Rfam family "Eukaryotic large subunit ribosomal RNA", at positions 1 to 587 of the family's 3401-position model. The record is from RNAcentral. Lineage: Eukaryota; Fungi; Ascomycota; Sordariomycetes; Hypocreales; Nectriaceae.